RNAcentral lists this long non-coding RNA (861 nucleotides) under Brachypodium distachyon (stiff brome). RNAcentral describes it as "long non-coding RNA (BDIS_LNC003475)". Lineage: Eukaryota; Viridiplantae; Streptophyta; Magnoliopsida; Poales; Poaceae. The record is from RNAcentral.
CUCUAUAACAUCCAACAGAAUAAUCUGCUUAUGAUGUAUAGUAACAUACAGGAGAUCCUACGUCGGGUUUUCAUCCUAGGUAGGCUAAGAUAAGGGGUAAAACCCCACCAACCGCCCAAGCUAUGUUUUAGUUCUCUUUCUAGUUAUCGUAGCAUAAGCGUAUGCAGAUUCCUAUCACGAAAUAAUAAAUCGUUGCAAAUGCGCCAAAAAUUGCUGCAUCCAUUCAAAAUGUUUGUUGCAUGACUAAUAAAAUGUUUUCAUGGCCCACUAUUGCAGAUAUAGCAUUGGGAAAGUGUUACCUUAGCGUACCGUGAAAUAGUUGCAUGACACAUGAAAAGUUGUUGUUUUGAAAUAAAAACCCGUGCUUAAAGGGGUAACCUGCAGGAGAUUUGGAUGGAAACAGUUUUUUGCGUUACAGUGCAUGUUCUUCGGUGCUUGGUCUAAGCCUCUAAUGGCAUCUCCGAUGGUGGUUGAUACUAAAUUUCUUCUCUUCUUUCUUUAAUAUGUUUUCUUUUUUUCUACUCCUUUCUUUUUCUGGAUGGACCCACGUGUCAUCAUUUUUUCUAUCCUGGUAUCCGUGUAGUACUUGUUACUUUUUCAAAUAACCACUACUUAGUUAUAAUAUUCAUCUUUCCUUCUCAUUGGCCACUAACUUCUUGGGACCUCUGAAGUACCCCUUGUUGAGGAUGCCCUAAGGGCAUCCCCAAUAAGGGGUACCAAGCAGAUAGUUAAAGUCUCUUUCUUACUUUUUGGCUGAGGGUGGAGCAAAAAGGUGAAGAUGUGGUAUACUGCAAAAGUAACAACCUUAGCACAAUAACUAAGAAUAUGAGAAGAUAGUUUAAUGAAAAAAUGAGUAUGCCA